This 455-nucleotide ribosomal RNA is filed under the name uncultured bacterium. RNAcentral describes it as "partial 16S ribosomal RNA". It matches the Rfam family "Bacterial small subunit ribosomal RNA", at positions 28 to 507 of the family's 1533-position model. The record is from RNAcentral.
GAUGAACGCUGACAGAAUGCUUAACACAUGCAAGUCUACUUGAACUUCGGUUUGGGUGGCGGACGGGUGAGUAACGCGUAAAGAACUUGCCUCACAGUUAGGGACAACAUUUGGAAACGAAUGCUAAUACCUGAUAUUAUGAUUUUAGGGCAUCCUAGGAUUAUGAAAGCUAUAUGUGCUGUGAGAGAGCUUUGCGUCCCAUUAGCUAGUUGGAGGGGUAACGGCUCACCAAGGCGAUGAUGGGUAGCCGGCCUGAGAGGGGGAACGGCCACAAGGGGGCAGAGAAACACCGCCUAAACACAAGGGGGGGAUCAGUGGGGAAAAUUGUGGAAAGGGCGGCAAAAGUCUGAAGCAACAAUUCGUGGGGGAAGAGGGCUUUUUGGGGAAAAAAAGGUGUUUUCUGUGGGGAAGAAAAAAUGACGGUAACAAACAAAAAAGGAACGGCUAAAUACGUG